GAUGAACGCUGGCGGCGUGCCUAAUACAUGCCAGUAGAACGCUGAAGCUUGGUGCUUGCACCGAGCGGAUGAGUUGCGAACGGGUGAGUAACGCGUAGGUAACCUGCCUGGUAGCGGGGGAUAACUAUUGGAAACGAUAGCUAAUACCGCAUAACAGUAGAUAUUGCAUGAUAUCUGCUUGAAAGGUGCAAAUGCAUCACUACCAGAUGGACCUGCGUUGUAUUAGCUAGUUGGUGAGGUAACGGCUCACCAAGGCGACGAUACAUAGCCGACCUGAGAGGGUGAUCGGCCACACUGGGACUGAGACACGGCCCAGACUCCUACGGGAGGCAGCAGUAGGGAAUCUUCGGCAAUGGGGGGAACCCUGACCGAGCAACGCCGCGUGAGUGAAGAAGGUUUUCGGAUCGUAAAGCUCUGUUGUAAGAGAAGAACGAGUGUGAGAGUGGAAAGUUCACACUGUGACGGUAUCUUACCAGAAAGGGACGGCUAACUACGU
RNAcentral lists this ribosomal RNA (496 nucleotides) under uncultured bacterium. RNAcentral describes it as "partial 16S ribosomal RNA". It matches the Rfam family "Bacterial small subunit ribosomal RNA", at positions 28 to 506 of the family's 1533-position model. The record is from RNAcentral.